CAUAAAUAACAUAAAAUAUUUAAUUUGGCCUUGAAUAAUUAAAUAAUAGCUCAUGAAAUGGACAUAGGCUGUAUAUACGGCUGCUUAAGGUCUAAAUUGCUUUAAAAAUCAAAACGAAUCAAAUAAGUAUAGUAUGUUGUAUCAUCUGCCUAAAGUUCACUUUAGGGUUCAGACAAUGGUCCAUGUAUAUUUGAUAACUACACGAGUACAUUUUUAUGUAUUCUACUAAGUACUGAAAAUAAAAAAGUAUAUAAUAAUUAUUAUAGUAGAACCCUACCACGAAUUAGUAAAUAGUUAAAUCCAACCCUAAAUAGUUUAUACAAGUACAAAUAUAAUGUGUAUAAUAUUAUUUGUUAUCGAGUUGAUUUCAUAGCAUCAGUAAUAUUUCAAUAGUCAUCAUAACCAUACAUUUAUUUGUUUUGUACAAACAGGAAUUUAUGGAUAAAUAUACAAAUGUAAAUUUGACUAGAAAAUUUAAAAACCCGCAAUACUAUGUCAAUGUAGACGCUGAUCUAAGAUGGCGGUUUUAGUGCGCAUCUACACAGAAACUGCCAUUUUGAUUCGCUAAAGGUCUAAAAAUCUGGGUUUCAAAUUUUCUGAUCAAGUUUUACCUGUAUUAUCAUGUCUAGUUAGCAUUCCAAAUUCUGUGAUUUCAGAAACACGCAUUUUAGAGGCGAGGCCAUUUUAGCUACUGACCUAACUUGGCGUUUUUCGGCAACUGCAAUAGAAAUUAUAAAAUUAGCAUUUUUCUGGGAGACAUUUCGAUGUCGAGUCUGUGUUUUCUCAUCUUGUUAGUAAACCUAAAGAUAAUACAUAAUAAUAUUAUUAUAUCAGUUAAAAAUCAUAAUAAUAGUCUGGUAACACUGUAACCUAAUAAGCAGUUGCCAAUUUUUUUUUAAUAAAACUAUUUGAAAUUGUCUGAGGUAAUUUAAAAGUCACAAGAACCUUUAGAAAUUCUGCAAAUAUUGCAUGAGAUUGUUUUAAUAAACUAAAUGUAAAUAAAUGUAGAUAUGUUUUAUGAAGCAAUAUAGAGAAAUAGAAAGUUAAAAGGUUUAACACUUGUUAUACAAUCUU
Aricia agestis (brown argus) is the source of this 1074-nucleotide long non-coding RNA. RefSeq lists it as uncharacterized. The record is from RefSeq and is a predicted model, not a curated record. The transcript is spliced from 3 exons. Lineage: Eukaryota; Metazoa; Arthropoda; Insecta; Lepidoptera; Lycaenidae.